CGAAUCAGGGAUGUUCCGCGCCGGCGACAGAGCACCCAGCGAAGCGGUGCGCUCGCCGCCGGCGACUUUCCCCUAGCCACCGCAGCCCAAGCGCCGAAUCAGCACGGACAGGGCUUGGCAAAGCAAGAAAGGAUCAAGAGAUGGAGCGACAGAGAGGGAUCGAUCGGGAGGACGAGCAGGUAUCGCCGGCGGGCGUCGCAGCCAGGCCAACUGAGCACGGCGGGCCUCGCCGGCAAGCAUCGAUUUGCUGGCUCCCCAGUCCCCACUGCCGGCUGUGGAUUUCCAAUUUCAGUCUUCACUUCCAGGCUUAAGGUGCAUCGUUCAGGGAAACAGGUAUGUGAUUGUGAUGUAUGGCUGGCAAAAUGUACGAGGGUGAUUCUGCAGGAAAAAUGUCCAAGAAAGAGAGGGAUCAAGUAGCAAGUUCACCCAUGCUUGCCGAGAUGACGACUGUCUCCAAUGUUAUCAAUACAGGUGAGAUUCGAGAGCUGAAGGGAACGGCUGGCAAGAGAAAGCAUUCUAUGAAAUGGCCGCUGUUAUGAACAGAUCACCACUGUUUCUGAAAUGGCCAGCAACAAUUGGAGAUUGACCUUUUUCCCUUACUACACAGGAAUACAAGCCCAAGUGGCUUUUGCUGGGCCAUCUGGAAGGCCAGAAAACACUUUUGCUUUGAAAACAAGAGAGUGAAAUCUCCUACUGAGAUUGCCUGCUCUGCCUGUUCCUUCAUUUUGUAUCUGGCAGGUAUGCAUGCCCAGGUGAACUGCGAGCUUCAGAAGGAUGGUGCGGACAGCAGAAGAGCUCAAGGAGGCAGCAAUCUGCUACCACAAGCAUGUUGCUGAGCACGACAAGAUGGCGGCGGCGAGAGCAAUCAAUGGAGCGUGGAGGAGGAUCCGUGAAGGAAGCUGGAGAAGACGGGCAUUUUACUUAUUUAUGUGCUCCGGCGAUUUCUUUUUGGACCUUGCCCUGUGUGGUGGAUGAUUUAGUUUCUCCUUCUUUACCAAACUUUUUAGGCAUGGUUGGAAAACAGUAGUGUGCAAUUUCAUUACUUUACUGAGGUCCUGUUAGGGAAGGGGUGUUAAAGUUUAAUACUCCACUUUUAAUA
Long non-coding RNA from Setaria italica (foxtail millet), 1099 nucleotides. RefSeq lists it as uncharacterized. The transcript has 2 exons. The record is from RefSeq and is a predicted model, not a curated record. Lineage: Eukaryota; Viridiplantae; Streptophyta; Magnoliopsida; Poales; Poaceae.